AGUCGAGGGGUAUAUUUCUUCGGAAGUAGAGACCGGCGCACGGGUGCGUAACGCGUAUGCAAUCUACCUUUUACAGAGGGAUAGCCCAGAGAAAUUUGGAUUAAUACCUCAUAGUAUAUAGACUCGGCAUCGAGAUUAUAUUAAAGUCACAACGGUAAAAGAUGAGCAUGCGUCCCAUUAGCUAGUUGGUAAGGUAACGGCUUACCAAGGCUACGAUGGGUAGGGGUCCUGAGAGGGAGAUCCCCCACACUGGUACUGAGACACGGACCAGACUCCUACGGGAGGCAGCAGUGAGGAAUAUUGGACAAUGGGCGCAAGCCUGAUCCAGCCAUGCCGCGUGCAGGAUGACGGUCCUAUGGAUUGUAAACUGCUUUUAUACGAGAAGAAACACUGCUACGUGUAGCAGCUUGACGGUAUCGUAAGAAUAAGGAUCGGCUAACUCCGUGCCAGCAGCCGCGGUAAUACGGAGGAUCCAAGCGUUAUCCGGAAUCAUUGGGUUUAAAGGGUCCGUAGGCGGUUUAAUAAGUCAGUGGUGAAAGCCCAUCGCUCAACGGUGGAACGGCCAUUGAUACUGUUAGACUUGAAUUAUUAGGAAGUAACUAGAAUAUGUAGUGUAGCGGUGAAAUGCUUAGAGAUUACAUGGAAUACCAAUUGCGAAGGCAGGUUACUACUAAUUGAUUGACGCUGAUGG
Molecule: ribosomal RNA, 691 nt
Filed under: Flavobacterium sp. T99.09.B.LAT.LS.H.Gill.D
Lineage: Bacteria; Pseudomonadati; Bacteroidota; Flavobacteriia; Flavobacteriales; Flavobacteriaceae
Description: bacterial SSU rRNA
Rfam family: Bacterial small subunit ribosomal RNA
Source: RNAcentral